GACGUAGGUGGCGAACGUUAUCCGGAAUUAUUGGGCGUAAAGGGUGCGUAGAUGGCCUGACAAGUUAACAGUGGUAAAUCGAGGCUCAACCUCGUGGAAACUGAUAAUACUGUCUGGCUCGAGUGCAGAAGAGGUUAACGGAAUUCCAUGUGGAGCGGUAAAAUGCAUAGAUAUAUGGAAGAACACCAAUAACGGCGAAGGCAGUUAACUAUUCUGUUACUGACAUUGAGGCACGAAAGCGUGGGGAGCAAAACGG
RNAcentral lists this ribosomal RNA (256 nucleotides) under uncultured bacterium. RNAcentral describes it as "partial 16S ribosomal RNA". It matches the Rfam family "Bacterial small subunit ribosomal RNA", at positions 524 to 776 of the family's 1533-position model. The record is from RNAcentral.